ACACAGCUGAAUUCAAGCAGCAAGAACAGCUCCUAACUUCAAAUGCUUCCAGCGCCAGUGAGCUUCAGGAAUUCUGCUGUUCUGAGAGCAGAGUGUGAUGAAGCACACGGCCCCUCUGAGGCUGGCAGAACAAUCCCCUCAGGCAGCGAGCACACCUUCCUCUUUCUGAAUGCUGAGUGCCACCAGCCUACAAGCCACACCAGGAACAGGGGCCAGGAGCCAACCCCGGGGUGUUUCUCGGUACGUUACUGCAUUUUUCAGUCUAAUUUAUGUUUUCUUGGGA
Molecule: long non-coding RNA, 283 nt
Organism: Pogoniulus pusillus (Red-fronted tinkerbird)
Lineage: Eukaryota; Metazoa; Chordata; Aves; Piciformes; Lybiidae
Exons: 2
Source: RefSeq, a predicted model, not a curated record